RNAcentral lists this signal recognition particle RNA (305 nucleotides) under Rhinopithecus roxellana (golden snub-nosed monkey). RNAcentral describes it as "Metazoan signal recognition particle RNA (ENSRROG00000009026.1)". It matches the Rfam family "Metazoan signal recognition particle RNA". Rfam says of the family: The signal recognition particle (SRP) is a universally conserved ribonucleoprotein. It is involved in the co-translational targeting of proteins to membranes. The record is from RNAcentral. Lineage: Eukaryota; Metazoa; Chordata; Mammalia; Primates; Cercopithecidae.
GCUGCGUGUGGUGGCACAUACCUGUAGUUCCAGCUACUCGGGAGGCUGAGGCAGGAGGAUUGCUUGAGCCCAGGAGUCCUGGGCUAUAGUGCACUAAGUCAGUCUGAUGUCCGCAUAAAGUUUGGCAUCAGUAUGGUGACCUUGAUUUCCCCGGAGCAAGGGACCACGAGGUUGUCUAAGGAGGAGUGAACUAGCCCAGGUUGAAAACAGAGUAGGUCAGUACUCUGGUGCUGCUUAGUAGCAGGAUCACACCUGGGAAUAGCCACUGCAGUCUAGCCUGGGCAACAUAGCUAGACCCUGUCUUA